GGCGCUAUCGUCUAUCGGCUAGGACGAGAGAUUUUCAUUCUCUAAAGCGGGGUUCGAUUCCCCGUGGCGCUA
This 72-nucleotide transfer RNA is filed under the name Bacteroidaceae bacterium. RNAcentral's name for it is "tRNA-Glu". It matches the Rfam family "tRNA". Rfam says of the family: Transfer RNA (tRNA) molecules are approximately 80 nucleotides in length. Their secondary structure includes four short double-helical elements and three loops (D, anti-codon, and T loops). Lineage: Bacteria; Pseudomonadati; Bacteroidota; Bacteroidia; Bacteroidales; Bacteroidaceae. The record is from RNAcentral.